This 301-nucleotide ribosomal RNA is filed under the name uncultured bacterium. RNAcentral's name for it is "partial 16S ribosomal RNA". It matches the Rfam family "Bacterial small subunit ribosomal RNA", at positions 509 to 807 of the family's 1533-position model. The record is from RNAcentral.
CAGCCGCCGCGGUAAUACGUAGGUGGCAAGCGUUAUCCGGAAUUAUUGGGCGUAAAGCGCGCGUAGGCGGUUUUUUAAGUCUGAUGUGAAAGCCCACGGCUCAACCGUGGAGGGUCAUUGGAAACUGGAAAACUUGAGUGCAGAAGAGGAAAGUGGAAUUCCAUGUGUAGCGGUGAAAUGCGCAGAGAUAUGGAGGAACACCAGUGGCGAAGGCGACUUUCUGGUCUGUAACUGACGCUGAUGUGCGAAAGCGUGGGGAUCAAACAGGAUUAGAUACCCCGGUAGUCCCUGUCUCUUAUAC